GGGCCCGCACAAGCGGUGGAGCAUGUGGUUCAAUUCGAAGCAACGCGAAGAACCUUACCAACCUUUGACAUGCCUCGUAUGGUCGCUAGAGAUAGCUUCCUUCCCGCAAGGGGCGAGAGCACAGGUGCUGCAUGGCUGUCGUCAGCUCGUGUCGUGAGAUGUUGGGUUAAGUCCCGCAACGAGCGCAACCCUCGCCCUUAGUUGCCAUCAUUCAGUUGGGCACUCUAAGGGGACUGCCGGUGAUAAGCCGCGAGGAAGGUGGGGAUGACGUCAAGUCCUCAUGGCCCUUACAGGUUGGGCUACACACGUGCUACAAUGGCGGUGACAGUGGGAAGCAAUGGAGCAAUCCUGCGCAAAUCUCAAAAAGCCGUCUCAGUUCGGAUUGUGCUCUGCAACUCGAGCACAUGAAGUUGGAAUCGCUAGUAAUCGCAGAUCAGCACGCUGCGGUGAAUACGUUCCCGGGCCUU
RNAcentral lists this ribosomal RNA (467 nucleotides) under uncultured bacterium. RNAcentral describes it as "bacterial SSU rRNA". It matches the Rfam family "Bacterial small subunit ribosomal RNA", at positions 917 to 1382 of the family's 1533-position model. The record is from RNAcentral.